UUUGAACCAUUCUGUGAUUUAUUUUUUCCUUAGAAGUGGAAACAACCUGGGAUUCCUAUUUUUGGGGUUUGCACUGGUUCCACCCACGAUGGAAAAUGCUGGAAAUGAGAAGAGUGAAAAGCCCAAACUGGUGUCAGGCUGACAAGGUUUUGGUUUUACUCAUUUGGAUACUUGGGAGCAGAAUUUAACCUGGAGAAGUUCUCACUGUGUGGUUUGCAAGGAGAUCUCCCCACGAGCUGAUGGAACCUCCAGAGCCCAUCCCAACUUCCAUCAUCCCAGGAUUCUGAGUAAAUGUGGGAUCCCAGGGGAUAGCAGUGGGAUUUUAUCAUUCACCUCUGACUGCACUGCCAUAAAAGAGCCCCAGAAACCACUCAGGGGCUCACAUUCCUUGGCACUGCAAAGGAUCUUCAUUAAAUGCAAAAUUAAUAAAAAGCCAAAGAGAAA
Molecule: long non-coding RNA, 444 nt
Filed under: Parus major (Great Tit)
Lineage: Eukaryota; Metazoa; Chordata; Aves; Passeriformes; Paridae
Description: lncRNA (ENSPMJG00000004980.1)
Source: RNAcentral